Molecule: transfer RNA, 69 nt
Filed under: Conticribra weissflogii
Lineage: Eukaryota; Bacillariophyta; Thalassiosirophyceae; Thalassiosirales; Thalassiosiraceae
Rfam family: tRNA
About the family: Transfer RNA (tRNA) molecules are approximately 80 nucleotides in length. Their secondary structure includes four short double-helical elements and three loops (D, anti-codon, and T loops). Further hydrogen bonds mediate the characteristic L-shaped molecular structure. tRNAs have two regions of fundamental functional importance: the anti-codon, which is responsible for specific mRNA codon recognition, and the 3' end, to which the tRNAs corresponding amino acid is attached (by aminoacyl-tRNA synthetases). tRNAs cope with the degeneracy of the genetic code in two manners: having more than one tRNA (with a specific anti-codon) for a particular amino acid; and 'wobble' base-pairing, i.e. permitting non-standard base-pairing at the 3rd anti-codon position.
Source: RNAcentral
GGUUUAGCUCAGUUGGCAGAGCGCGUGCUUAGCAUGCACGAGGUCACCGGUUCGAUUCCGGUAUCCUCC